UACGUAGGGGCCGAGCGUUGUCCGGAGUUAUUGGGCGUAAAGCGCGCGCAGGCGGCUUGGCGCGCCCGACGUGAAAGCCCCCGGCUUAACCGGGGAGAGUCGUCGGGGACGGCCGGGCUUGAGGGCGGGAGAGGGUGGUGGAAUUCCCGGUGUAGUGGUGAAAUGCGUAGAGAUCGGGAGGAACACCUGUGGCGAAGGCGGCCACCUGGGCCGACCCUGACGCUAAGGCGCGAAGGCGUGGGGAGCGAACGGG
This 253-nucleotide ribosomal RNA is filed under the name uncultured bacterium. RNAcentral describes it as "partial 16S ribosomal RNA". It matches the Rfam family "Bacterial small subunit ribosomal RNA", at positions 524 to 776 of the family's 1533-position model. The record is from RNAcentral.